GACGAACCGCCCGAACGUUGUUCGGAAUCACUGGGCUUAAAGGGAGCGUAGGCGGGCUGCCAAGUCCGGGGUGAAAUCCUCCAGCUUAACUGGAGAACUGCCUCGGAUACUGGAAGUCUCGAGGAGGGUAGGGGCAAGUGGAACCGUGGGUGGAGCGGUGAAAUGCGUUGAUAUCCAUGGGAACUCCGGUGGCGAAGGCGACUUGCUGGACCCUUUCUGACGCUGAGGCUCGAAAGCCAGGGGAGCAAACGGG
Molecule: ribosomal RNA, 253 nt
Filed under: Fimbriiglobus sp.
Lineage: Bacteria; Pseudomonadati; Planctomycetota; Planctomycetia; Gemmatales; Gemmataceae
Also listed under: 1 other name
Description: partial 16S ribosomal RNA
Rfam family: Bacterial small subunit ribosomal RNA
Source: RNAcentral